Ornithodoros turicata is the source of this 1697-nucleotide long non-coding RNA. RefSeq lists it as uncharacterized. The transcript is spliced from 2 exons. NCBI's taxonomy places the organism in Eukaryota, Metazoa, Arthropoda, Arachnida, Ixodida, Argasidae. The record is from RefSeq and is a predicted model, not a curated record.
GUCUUUUUCACUCUGUUCAAGUGUUUGUUUUCCUCUGUUGCCCAGCAGUCGUACGAUUUGUCCUGACGUGUCCUGACAUGCCCCGAUAUGCAUGCUUUCCUUUGUUGACGCUUAGUAUUUUUUUCUCUUUUGACAAGGAACAUUGUUGUCUUGACGAUAGUGCUGCCCUGAGUUCUGCGCGCGUUGAUUUGUUGAGUGCCUAGUCCUCUUAUUAGCCGUUGAUGGAGUUACAUGUUAGGAUAUUUUGUUCUUUUGCAAGUCUCAUUUAGUAAGACUUUGGAAUUCCUUCGAUCAGCUUUCAUGCAUGGUGCUCUUCUGCAAUAGUUUCCUAUGCAAUCGUUAUAGAAGAAUAAAGGAAAUAAUCUUGGGAUAGUGAUUCAAUAAAUAAUAGGUCCCCUGUCUAGAGCGCACGCGUCCUUGAGCCACGCAGGUGCAUGAUGACGUCAUACCGUGGCUUCACUGCAGAUUGACCAAAGGAGCAUUAGUGGAAAAAAACAGUGUAGCCCUGAGACAAUAGGAUGAUGUCUGGACCAAUGAGAACUGCCAGCAGGGGGCGCAGGAAUGCUCUUCUCACUUAUGGCGAUUUCGGGUGGUGCAUUUGGGGCACUUUUUUCUGCCCCGAACCCGAGCGGUAAAUUCGGGUGGUGCGGUCCGAGCAAGAGCCGCGUGUUCGGAUGAUGCACUACGGAGCAGUUUGCUCGCCCCAAGAGCACUUUUUUGGCUCUUGCUGCGAGAGGCCGAGCCAAAACCGCCCUCAACUCUCUUCUUCCGCUCUCGACGGCGAGCAUGCGCAUAUAUGCGCCUCGCGAGUGUCGUCUGCUACGUAUUGCUCCUGCGGCUGUCUGCCUGUCAUCUGUCUCUUUGUCGCGUUCACCAUUGACGGCAUGGAUCUUUACGAAAGUAGUAGCGAUGAAAGUUCAAUUGACACCGAUAAUGUGAAUGACAAAGAGGAUGAUGUGACCUGCUCCUCGCAAGCUAUGCUUGUGAUCCGGUGAAAGUGCGCGACGACGCCAACGACGCUGCCGGAAGUUCACGAACACGACGAACGCACAAUGCUAGCGAGCGCAGCGACCCUCGUCGAAGAGCGUCCGACAAAUUCGGGUGAUGACUGCCCCAGAGCGACUCUCGUGUAGAGCGUGCACUGGACCUGGGCGCUCUCGCUCGGAUUACCAGGUGCAUCACCCGAAAUCGCCAUUAGCCUCACGACCAAUGAGAACUGCCAGCAGGGGGCGCAGGAAUGCUCUUCUCUCUUAGCCUCUCGCAGGUGGCGGUAGGAGUGCGCAGAGGGCGCUACGAGCGCGCGCAUGCGUAGCACCCGUAGAGUGGCGCUUACGUCAGUCCACCUCUGGCUCUCGUUGGGAGAAGACGUGUGGUCGUUCGCUCCGUCGCCACUUGAUCCCUGGCUGUCGACGAGAGCAGUCGCAUCGGUCUGCGCUCCUACUGUGAGCUGUCCUAACCUGCCCAGACAUGCCAUGAUGACGUCACAGCUGACGUCACAGGAUGUGCGGAACUGGUGCUGCGAUGCUUUGCAACCUGCCUCAGUGCUCCGUCGCCCAGCGGCCUUUCCGGGCCGCUUUCUUCAAGAUGAUGUCGUUGAUCUUCAACUAAACUCCUUCUCUCCACUCUAUCUCUAUCUUUUUACGGCUUCUUCGCCGCGGCAUCGUUGAUUUUCGAAUAAAUUGUUUCUCUCCACUCUA